AAAAAAGAAAAUUUUUUAAAAUCACAUUUUUAACUGAAAUCUUUCCAGCCUUUCCCUUUUGCACAAUGCCCUCCUCAGGCUGGCAGGGUUUGGGUGGUGGCACCAACCUGGGAAUGUUGGGAAGUGGGAAGAGAGUCCCACAGUGCUGGAGCUCUUUGGCUCAGAAGGAUCAAUAACAUUUAUUUGCAAGUGUUUAGAGCAGAUUAUUUGCAUUUGUGAAGGUAAUGAAAAAAGUAUUGAAUUUUAAUUAGCAUUUUCUGGCUCUUCUGGGAGAACUCUGGAUUCAAUCCGUGGACACUCGCAGUGUAUUCCAGGGAAAAUUCCGGAUAAUUUUGGGUGUUCUGCCAUCACAAACCCACCUCCGAGCACGGAUUUCCAUAAAGUCCCCCCCUGCCAGGAGUUCUGGCAGGAGCAUAAUGACAGGUCUCUUGUGCUCAGAAUUGUUUUGUCAUUUCACAUCCCUGGGAACUGCUGAGAAGAAAAAUUAAAUAAAUAAAAUGACCAAUUUGCUUCUAUGAAGCCGGGCCUCAGCUGGGAAAAUGAAUUUUUUUUUAGAUAAAUAGAUCAGCUUUCUCUCUGCUCCGGGCUCCAGAAUAAAUAAUUGUGCUAAAUAUCCAUGUAAAUGUUUCCCAUAGAAAAACACACAGUGGGAAAUGAUAAAAAAUCCUGGGAGUCGGAGUGGUCACAAAAUGUGGGAUUGCUUUUCAUCCAGGGAAAAUGGACCUGCCCUCAGCGGGCUUUCCAGGUGGGAAAGGGAGGGUGGAACAAAACACAGAAGUUUUAAAGGAGAGCUGAAUAAAACCCUCAGGAAGGUGGUUGUGCUCAUGGAAAAUUGGAAUUCCUCCAUUGCACGGGGUGGAGGUGUUUGGGCAGAGCUGAGAUUCCUUAACUGGCAUUUCCCUCUCUUAUAUGGUGAGAAUUUUAUAUUUUUAUAUAUAAAUAAUAGAUAUAUAAAUUAUAUUUCCCAUUUAUAGCUUUAACUGGUUGGGUUUUUGGACUGUCUGCUCCGUUUCAAUCCUCGUGUUCCAUAGAGGGACUGGAAUUCCAUAAACAUCCCGGCUGAUGUUCUGAGCCUGACUGAUGCUUCUCCCCUGGAAAGCUCCUUGGGAACUCGUCUGGACCCGGAUUUUUGUGGUGAGAAGCAGCAGCCGGUGCCAGGAAAUGUGGCCAUUCCAGCCCCAGCCCUCCUGUCAGAGACAGGGAUUUAAUCCUGGCUGAUGGACAAGCACUUCCAUUCCGGGCUUCAAUGUGCCCAAGGAUUUGGAAAGAGCACUAAGGAGGAAUAAACCCUUCUCCAUUUUACCAGCACAAUAUUCCAGACCUGGAAACCCCGGAGGUUCCAGGACAUUUUAGUGACUUUUUCCAGCAUCUUUCCUAAGAUUCUCCUUGGAAGGUGUUUUUGCUUCCUUGUAGGAACCUGAAGCUCAGCAAAGCCCCGAACAAAGGAGGGACUCCAUGGCAGGAGCCUGGAGGUGGUGACAGGAGGGGAAUUGUGCCAGAAUUUAGACCCCAACUGAAGGCACUUGAGAACUGUGUCCAGUGUGUAUUUUUUACAUUAGUUUCUGUGUAUCCAAACAUUCAUUUCCAGCUCUGCCUGGAAGCAAUUCUGCCCAACUCCCCAGAGAAUCCGAGUAAUAAAAUCAGGUGUUCAUACCCUUCUCAGCUCCAAAUUAAAAUAACUUCUGCAAAGUCUUGUCAUGGAUCUGUUUUGGGUUUUUUUUUUCCUACUUGCUGUUCCCCAAGUUUUCUCUUUAAGGAGGAAAAUGUGGGAUAAACCAACCAGAGGAUGCUCUGGCUGGGAAAAGGUCAUCAGUCAUUCCCCCUGGGACAGCUCAGGUUCAGCUCCUUGGGAAUAGUCUGGGGAGCAAAGCUCAAAAGCUCAGUUCAGGAGGAGCUCAAAAGGUUUAGGAGGAGCUCAAAAGGUUUAGGAGGAGCUCAACAAAUUUGUGGCCUCCAACCCCUCGAGUGAAAAGGAGCUGAGAAGAUGGGAAGGGAUAAAGUGGCAAUUUGUAGAGAUAAUCCUGGCUUAAAAUGCCAUUCCAGGGGUUAAGCCUGUGGUGUUUGGGGAUAAGCUCUGCUUGCUUGUGGGUGUAUUAAUGGUGAUACUGCUGGAAUAUAUUGAAUUAACCUGUUAUUUUCAUGGAAUUGUCCAUGGUUUGGGUUGGAAGGGAUGUUAAAGAUCAUCUCCUUCCCUGAAGGGACACCUCCUGCCAGAGCAGCUUCCUCCUCUGCUCAUCUUUGUAAAAUAUUGCAGGUUUUCCUGGUUUUUCUUUGGUGAUUAUUUAUUCCUAAAAUUGGUGUCUUUGCUGUGCUUUGUGUUCAACAUGAGAGACAGUGACAAAUUUUAUUUUUUGAUCUUUUUUCCCCCCCCAUCACUGAAGGGUCCUGAGCAGAAAGAGGUUUCCCACAGCAGUAUUGCUGCCCUGGGCUCAGCUCCCUCCUGGAAUUCCAUCCGGGAAUUUUACGAUUCUUUACUUCCCUGUCUUGUUUUCUGGAGCCACCUCUUGGAAAAUGCUUAUUCUGAGGAGCUGAGUUUCCCAUCAUAAUUCUCUGCUGUUUCCUUUCGCACCUCGGGGACGUUGAUGAGACAAAUAAUUCAGCAUUUCCAGCUGCAAGACAAAUAAUUCAGCAUUUCCAGCUGCCUGGAAGGAUUUUAACUUCCAGAAAUAACCCCAAAGCUGCUCCCUUGGGCAGCAUUUGCUGCUAAUUCCCUUCCUGGAGAGAGCUGGAAUCCAUCACCUUUUAGGAUAUUUUAUGAGCAGGGUCUGUAGCAGGAGGGCAGAUGGAUUUAAUCCAGAAAAAUGAGAUGUUUGCCUUUUUCCAGGCUUUUUUUUUUUUUUUUUUCGUGGAGAAGCUUCUCCAAAAGUGCUGAAGUUUGGGCUGGAGAAGAACCAAGGGCUCUGGGUUUGCCCAAGUGUCACAAGGAGAGGAGUCACCACAGACAAUUCCAUCCUCUCCUGCUGCAAGGAGGGUUUGGGAAUCCCGGGAAAGACAUGGAAUCAUGGAAUGGUUGGGGUUGGAAGAUACCUCGAAGAGCAUCUUGUUCCACCCCCUGCCAUGGGCAGGGACACUUCCCACCAGCCCAGGUUGCUCCAACCUGGCCUUGGACACUUCCAGGGAUCCAGGGGCAGCCACAGCUUCUCUGGGAAUUCUAUUCCAGCCCCUCCC
This is a long non-coding RNA of Pseudopipra pipra, 3168 nucleotides long. RefSeq lists it as uncharacterized. The transcript is spliced from 6 exons. The record is from RefSeq and is a predicted model, not a curated record. Lineage: Eukaryota; Metazoa; Chordata; Aves; Passeriformes; Pipridae.